This 298-nucleotide unclassified non-coding RNA is filed under the name uncultured fungus. Its description in RNAcentral is "sequence contains ITS2". The stretch from base 1 to 52 matches the Rfam family "5.8S ribosomal RNA", at positions 103 to 154 of the family's 154-position model. Lineage: Eukaryota; Fungi. The record is from RNAcentral.
AACGCACCUUGCGCUCCUUGGUAUUCCGAGGAGCAUGCCUGUUUGAGUGUCAGUAAAUUUUCAACCCCUCCAGCUUCGCUGUUGGUUUGGGGCUUGGAUAAUGGAGGUGCUGCUGGCCUUGUACAAGGUUAGCUCCUCUGAAAUGCAUUAGCAGAACCGUUUGCGAUCUGUUACAGGCAUGAUAAUUAUCUAUGCCAGUAGAUCGCUCUCUGUCUUGUUCAGCUACCAAUCGUCUGUAAAAGACAAUUAUUACUGAAUCUUUGACCUCAAAUCAGGUAGGACUACCCGCUGAACUUAA